This 521-nucleotide ribosomal RNA is filed under the name Vishniacozyma victoriae. RNAcentral's name for it is "eukaryotic LSU rRNA". The stretch from base 166 to 319 matches the Rfam family "5.8S ribosomal RNA". The record is from RNAcentral. Lineage: Eukaryota; Fungi; Basidiomycota; Tremellomycetes; Tremellales; Bulleribasidiaceae.
UUCCGUAGGUGAACCUGCGGAAGGAUCAUUAAUAGUGCCCUCUGAUGCAAAUCAUUGGGUUAGAUCUGCUCUCUUCGCAAGAAGAGGGUUUCCAUACACACCGUGAACUGUGGCUUCGGCCAUCACAAACUGUUAGUAAUGAAUGUAAUAUCAUAACAAAAACAAAACUUUUAACAACGGAUCUCUUGGCUCUCGCAUCGAUGAAGAACGCAGCGAAAUGCGAUAAGUAAUGUGAAUUGCAGAAUUCAGUGAAUCAUCGAAUCUUUGAACGCACCUUGCGCCCUUUGGUAUUCCGAAGGGCAUGCCUGUUUGAGUGUCAUGAAACCUCACCCCACUUGGGUUUUUGCCUGAGCGGUGGUGUAUUGGGUAUUGCCUUGCUAAAGGCUCGCCUUAAAGACAUAAGCACCUUGGAUGUAAUACGUUUCAUCCUUCUGGGUGGCUGAUAACCCCACAUAUUCAUGAUCUGGCCUCAAAUCAGGUAGGGCUACCCGCUGAACUUAAGCAUAUCAAUAAGCGGAGGA